This 255-nucleotide ribosomal RNA is filed under the name Chelarctus aureus. Its description in RNAcentral is "partial 16S ribosomal RNA". It matches the Rfam family "Bacterial large subunit ribosomal RNA", at positions 2258 to 2609 of the family's 2925-position model. Lineage: Eukaryota; Metazoa; Arthropoda; Malacostraca; Decapoda; Scyllaridae. The record is from RNAcentral.
GGGUUUAAAUAUUUUGUUGGGGCGACAGGGGUAUAAAAUGUAACUGCUCUAGAGUAAUAGUUAGUCGAUAUCUAGUUAUGUGAUCCUUUAGUAGAGAUGUUAGUUUAAGUUACUUUAGGGAUAACAGCGUAAUUUUUUUUGAGAGUUCGUAUCGAAAAAAAAGUUUGCGACCUCGAUGUUGAAUUAAAGAUCCUUUGCGGCGCAGAAGUUGUAAGAGGAGGUCUGUUCGACCUUUAAAUCUUUACAUGAUCUGAG